RNAcentral lists this long non-coding RNA (371 nucleotides) under Citrus maxima (pomelo). Its description in RNAcentral is "long non-coding RNA (CMAX_LNC003153)". Lineage: Eukaryota; Viridiplantae; Streptophyta; Magnoliopsida; Sapindales; Rutaceae. The record is from RNAcentral.
AUAGUUCUACCCAUAAUGCUGCCCCAUUUUCCACGGUUGCCUAUACAGAUUGCAGGUAAUUUCUCUCCCUAUGGCUUAUUGGAAAUUUUGAACAAAUGACAGUUUCAGCAUUGGACAAACUGUGCUUUGCAAAUAAGCAACCUUAUUCUGGCUAAAAUGGAGAACCCCACUAACCAAAUAUAAGCACAAGCAAAGUAGUCUUCUCUUCCUUUGUACAUUGUUGCAGAUUAAACAGCAUCUUACCUAUGAGCAGAUGCGUGCGGCAUAGGAUAUGGCAUGGGAGACACAUUCAUUGGUGCACCAGGAACCACUGUUCCUGGGACUGGAGCUCUGACACCGUAUGCCAUGUGUGCUGGGGCAGGAAGAUUCAC